GACGAACUCUGGCGGCGUGCUUACCACAUGCAAGUCGAACGGUGAAGCGCCUUCCUUUUUGGUGGGUGUAGAAGAGUGGCGAACGGGUGAGUAACACGUGAGUAACCUGCCCCCUUCUUCAGGAUAACCGCAUGAAAGUGUGGCUAAUACGGGAUAUUCUGGUUCUGUCGCAUGAUGGGUCUGGGAAAGAUCUUGUUUCGGUGGGGGAUGGGCUCGCGGCCUAUCAGCUUGUUGGUGGGGUGAUGGCCUACCAAGGCGGUGACGAGUAGCCGGCCUGAGAGUGUGUACCGUCACACUGGGAGUGAGAGACGGACGAGAAUAGUACGGGAAGAAGAAGUGAGGAAUAUUGGACGACGGACGUGAGCCUGACGGAGCGCCGCCGCGUGAGGAGUGGUGGCCUCCGGGUUGUGAUCGACUUUUGCGAGUGAAGAAAGCCUGCCUUGGAGGUGGGUGGGUUGACGGUAGCUGCAUAAGAAGUGCCGGCUAACCACGUG
Molecule: ribosomal RNA, 494 nt
Filed under: uncultured bacterium
Lineage: Bacteria
Description: partial 16S ribosomal RNA
Rfam family: Bacterial small subunit ribosomal RNA
Source: RNAcentral